UUUACAGGCACAAGAACACUCUUCAUGGUGCUCCAAGGCCACAUCUGUCAUGGACUUCUGCAGGCCUCUUGCUCCGCUUCGAUGUCUCAACAGAAGAACCUAUUGAGAAGGAGCAUGUAGUGCAUGAGCUCACUGAUAGCACCUUGUCACUACCAUGCCAUUUCCAAAGGUUGAACCAUAAAAAGAGAGUGGGAUAACAUCCAGAGCCUUGGAAGAACAUUGAUUUUGUGCCAGGCACGCACUGGCAGUCAAAGCAGCGAUGAGAGCAGCAGGCGCAGUUUCCACCACAGCGUUUUACAAGGAGACAGCUGGGCCAGAAAAUGACAUCUGUCCUUUUCAGCUCCUCUCGCAAAGACACUGAGUAGUUGCG
Molecule: long non-coding RNA, 370 nt
Organism: Girardinichthys multiradiatus
Lineage: Eukaryota; Metazoa; Chordata; Actinopteri; Cyprinodontiformes; Goodeidae
Exons: 3
Source: RefSeq, a predicted model, not a curated record